RNAcentral lists this ribosomal RNA (656 nucleotides) under uncultured bacterium. Its description in RNAcentral is "partial 16S ribosomal RNA". The record is from RNAcentral.
CGCGGCGUGCUGAUCCGCGAUUACUAGUGAUUCCGGCUUCAUGUUCUCGAAUUGCAGAGAACAAUCUGAACUAAGGUGAACUUUAGAGAUUCGCUCCGAUUUUCAUCAUUGCAACUUUUUGUAUUCACCAUUGUAACACGUGUGUAGCCCAGUUCAUAAGGGUCAUGAAGACUUGACGUGAUCCCUACCUUCCUCCAGUCUAUCACCGGCAGUAGAAUUAGAGUGCUCUUUUUUUAGAAAAUCUAAAAACAAGAGAGCAACAAAUUCAAGGGGUUUCGCUCGUUAAGGAAAUUAAUCCAACAUCUCAAAACACGAGCUGACGACAGCCAUGCAACACCUGUUAUACCCUAUUUGGUUUUUUUUUUACAAAGUAAAAAAAAAUGUACUUUUUAAAUAAGAAAAAAGUCGAAGGUAUAAUGUCAAGAACUGGUAAGGUUUUGCGCGUUGUUUCGAAUUAAACCACAUGUUCCACCACUUGUGUGAGCCCCCGUCUAUUCCUUUGAGUUUUAGUCUUGCGACCGUACUCCUCAGGCGGACCAUUUAACGCGUUAGCUCACCCACUGCAUUCCUUCCGGAAUUCAAUAGGGAAUGGUCAUCGUUGACAGCGUGGACUACAGGGGUAUCUAAUCCCUUUUGAUCCCCCGCUUUCGCAUCUC